This is a long non-coding RNA of Microtus oregoni (creeping vole), 458 nucleotides long. RefSeq lists it as uncharacterized. NCBI's taxonomy places the organism in Eukaryota, Metazoa, Chordata, Mammalia, Rodentia, Cricetidae. The record is from RefSeq and is a predicted model, not a curated record. The transcript is spliced from 4 exons.
GUCAUGGGGAACCCUACAAUGAUCUACCCUGCCUCCAGAACAAAUGCCAUGCCCCAACAUCUGAAAGUAUACCGGCUGCUCAGGAAUGGUAUCAUUUCUACUACACGGACAUCUCGGUCCUAUUCCCCUCUGCCUGGGAGUGACCUGGUGACCACUUUGUCUUGUCCUGUCACUGUGACAGUGAGGAUGGCUGCGAUGGGGAUUAGCCUAGUCCUCGGGGAUAAAAGGCAAGAUCAUCUCCUUCUUGGAAGGAUUUCAGACCUUGGAGACUGGAAUCAAGGACAUGGUUCACAACUACACGCACCCUUCUAGAAUGCAGUGGCUUCGGUUUCUGACCAGGGACACAGAAUACCAUUGGAAUUUGAGAGGCAUGCCUGGUGGCCUGCUUCAGCAGCUUGUGAUGGAGAUCUGCUCCAGCUAGAGCCCAGCUCUGCAGCCACAAAUGACACCCAGCCUGG